Molecule: transfer RNA, 92 nt
Filed under: Oceaniferula marina
Lineage: Bacteria; Pseudomonadati; Verrucomicrobiota; Verrucomicrobiia; Verrucomicrobiales; Verrucomicrobiaceae
Description: tRNA-Ser
Rfam family: tRNA
About the family: Transfer RNA (tRNA) molecules are approximately 80 nucleotides in length. Their secondary structure includes four short double-helical elements and three loops (D, anti-codon, and T loops). Further hydrogen bonds mediate the characteristic L-shaped molecular structure. tRNAs have two regions of fundamental functional importance: the anti-codon, which is responsible for specific mRNA codon recognition, and the 3' end, to which the tRNAs corresponding amino acid is attached (by aminoacyl-tRNA synthetases). tRNAs cope with the degeneracy of the genetic code in two manners: having more than one tRNA (with a specific anti-codon) for a particular amino acid; and 'wobble' base-pairing, i.e. permitting non-standard base-pairing at the 3rd anti-codon position.
Source: RNAcentral
GGAGGGAUGGCUGAGUUCGGUUUAAGGCGCUCGACUCGAAAUCGAGUGUGGUAGUGAUAUCACCGUGGGUUCGAAUCCCACUCCCUCCGCCA